AAUCUUCGGAGAGGGUUUUCGGUGUUGGACACUCUUAGUGGCGAACGGGUGAGUAACGCGUAGGCAACCUGCCCUUUAGAUGGGGACAACAUCCCGAAAGGGGUGCUAAUACCGAAUGUGACAGUCCUUCCGCAUGGAGGGAUUGUGAAAGAUGGCCUCUACAUGUAAGCUAUCGCUAAAGGAUGGGCCUGCGUCUGAUUAGCUAGUUGGUGAGGUAACGGCUCACCAAGGCGACGAUCAGUAGCCGGUCUGAGAGGAUGAACGGCCACAUUGGGACUGAGACACGGCCCAGACUCCUACGGGAGGCAGCAGUGGGGAAUCUUCCGCAAUGGGCGAAAGCCUGACGGAGCAAUGCCGCGUGAGUGAUGAAGGGAUUCGUUCCGUAAAACUCUGUUGUCUAUGACGAAUGUGCCCUGUGUAAAUAAUGCGGGGUAAUGACGGUAGUAGACGAGGAAGCCACGGCUAACUACGUGCCAGCAGCCGCGGUAAUACGUAGGUGGCGAGCGUUGUCCGGAAUUAUUGGGCGUAAAGAGCAUGUAGGCGGUUUUUUAAGUCCGGAGUGAAAAUGCGGGGCUCAACCCCGUAUGGCUCUGGAUACUGGAAGACUUGAGUGCAGGAGAGGAAAGGGGAAUUCCCAGUGUAGCGGUGAAAUGCGUAGAUAUUGGGAGGAACACCAGUGGCGAAGGCGCCUUUCUGGACUGUGUCUGACGCUGAGAUGCGAAAGCCAGGGUAGCGAACGGGAUUAGAUACCCCGGUAGUCCUGGCCGUAAACGAUGGGUACUAGGUGUAGGAGGUAUCGACCCCUCCUGUGCCGGAGUUAACGCAAUAAGUACCCCGCCUGGGGAGUACGUCCGCAAGGAUGAAACUCAAAGGAAUUGACGGGGGCCCGCACAAGCGGUGGAGUAUGUGGUUUAAUUCGACGCAACGCGAAGAACCUUACCAAGGCUUGACAUUGAGCGCCAUGCCUAGAGAUAGGCAGUUCCCUUCGGGGACGUGAAAACAGGUGGUGCAUGGCUGUCGUCAGCUCGUGUCGUGAGAU
RNAcentral lists this ribosomal RNA (1039 nucleotides) under human gut metagenome. RNAcentral describes it as "bacterial SSU rRNA". It matches the Rfam family "Bacterial small subunit ribosomal RNA", at positions 60 to 1073 of the family's 1533-position model. The record is from RNAcentral.